UUUUGGAAGUUAAAAAUCGUAACAAGGUUUCCGUAGGUGAACCUGCGGAAGGAUCAUUAAUGAAUUCACUCUUGAAGCUUCGUUGCUCGGCCUUUAGGGGCAUUGUGCACGCUUCAUCAGUCCAUUCAACCACCUGUGCACUUUUUGUAGAUCAUUGAAGUCAUCCCUCAGGUCAUUAGUGACUUGGAUGUCAGGAGGUUCUUAUACCUUCUGGCUGACUCUCAGUGAUCUAAUUUACACACCCUAAUUGUAUGUCAAUGAAUGUCGUUUAUCUUUGGGCCAUGUGCCUAUAAACCUAGUACAACUUUCAACAACGGAUCUCUUGGCUCUCGCAUCGAUGAAGAACGCAGCGAAAUGCGAUAAGUAAUGUGAAUUGCAGAAUUCAGUGAAUCAUCGAAUCUUUGAACGCACCUUGCGCCCCUUGGUAUUCCGAGGGGCAUGCCUGUUUGAGUGUCAUUAAAUUCUCAACCUAUAAAGGCUUUUGAAGUCAUUAUGGGCUUGGAUUGUUGGGGGCUGCUGGCUCAUUAGAGUCAGCUCUCCUUAAAUGCAUUAGCAGGACUCUAUUGCCUCUGCGCAUGGUGUGAUAAUUAUCUACACCAGUUGCAUGUAAUACUAUAAUGUGUCCAGCUCUCUAAUCGUCUUCGGACAGUUAUUGACCAUUUGACCUCAAAUCAGGUAGGACUACCCGCUGAACUUAAGCAUAUCAUAAGCCGGGAGGAAAA
Molecule: ribosomal RNA, 722 nt
Filed under: Pleurotus tuber-regium
Lineage: Eukaryota; Fungi; Basidiomycota; Agaricomycetes; Agaricales; Pleurotaceae
Description: eukaryotic LSU rRNA
Rfam family: 5.8S ribosomal RNA (bases 303-456)
Source: RNAcentral